This 329-nucleotide unclassified non-coding RNA is filed under the name uncultured fungus. RNAcentral's name for it is "partial contains 5.8S ribosomal RNA, internal transcribed spacer 2, and large subunit ribosomal RNA". Lineage: Eukaryota; Fungi. The record is from RNAcentral.
AACGCACAUUGCGCUUCCUGGUAUUCCGGGGAGCACGCCCGUUUCAGAAUCAUUGAAAUACCUCAUCUUGCAGCUUGGCUGUCUUUGGCCAAUGCUGCAUUGAUGAAUAUUGGGUGCUUUGCUGUACAACUUGUGUUGCAAUCAUCUUAAAUAUUUUUGUGUUUGACCCAGUAAUUUUGCUUGGGACCUGCCAAGGCGCAACAGAUGACUUGUCUUAUCUCUAACCGCAUUGGUAAAGCGAAUUACUGUUAAAGGCGCGAUCACAUCUCUAUUUUCUUUAAUUUUUAAAACAUGGUCUGAAAUCGGGCGGGAAAACCCGCUGAACUUAA